GAGAGAGGAGGAUGAACGGCAGGUGCAGAUAAUGGAAGCAGCACGAAUGAGUGGUUUGAAGAAAGAAGAAGAAAGGGAGAGGAUGAAGCGUGAGGCCAACCUCUUGGCAGGUCAAGCUCUCAAUAAGCAAAUUGAAGAGCAGCACAUUUUUCGAAAACUUAAGUUCAACGAAAAAAGAAAGGAGGCAGAUCGAUUAACAAAAGAAGCAGACAAAUACAAAAUGGAAAUGGACAAGGAACAAAAAAAGAAAGAAGAAAAAAAAAGAAAAGAAGAGGAAGAAGCAAAGUGGGUGAGGAGGCAAGCCGAGAUACGAAAAGAAGAAGUACUGAAGAACAAUAAGCUGCAGGACGUCAGGAUGAUGGUGGAGAUAAAAACGAAAGAGAAGAAAGAGAGGGAAAGGAUGGAACAGGAGACUGCAACGAAAAGAGUGAAGGAAAAUCUCCAGCUGAUGUGGCUUGAGGAUCAAGAGCAGCAACUGGAGGAGCAGCGGCAGAGAGAUGAAGAUAAACAAAUCAGGGAACAAGAAAAGGCAUGUCUAUAAGUUUAGUAGGGGGUUUAGGGAUUCUGAAUGGUAGUUGCCAACACACUUAAACUACUAAUAUAUUUGGUUCAACAGAUCAAAGGAAUCAUAACUCUACGUUAUGUUAAAAACUGCUGGUCUUUAGGAUUUCUUAAGGUACAAUUGUGCUAUUGAUAGAUUGCUAUGAACUUAAUUUGC
Eriocheir sinensis (Chinese mitten crab) is the source of this 718-nucleotide long non-coding RNA. RefSeq lists it as uncharacterized. NCBI's taxonomy places the organism in Eukaryota, Metazoa, Arthropoda, Malacostraca, Decapoda, Varunidae. The transcript has 3 exons. The record is from RefSeq and is a predicted model, not a curated record.